GAAUUAUAUGAACUUAUGAUUGGAACUAUUAGCAAGCAUCCACAACUACUAACAUUCAUCAAGUAAAACCUAACUAUAGCAUUAAGAUAUAUUGGUCCCCUUUCUAUCCCAUAUGAAUCGAUUUCUAUGUUAGGAAGAAGCUUCUGUCACUCUCGCCCUCCAAUGCAUAGUCCUAUCAACAUACAGCUACACCUAUGGUGUGGUCCAAGCGCGCUCUCAUAUGCUGGGCACCAAAGGACAACAAAAAAAUAAAACA
RNAcentral lists this long non-coding RNA (256 nucleotides) under Hordeum vulgare. Its description in RNAcentral is "long non-coding RNA (HVUL_LNC002695)". The record is from RNAcentral. Lineage: Eukaryota; Viridiplantae; Streptophyta; Magnoliopsida; Poales; Poaceae.